UCGAACGAAGGCUUCGGCCUUAGUGGCGCACGGGUGCGUAACGCGUGGGAAUCUGCCCUUAGGUUCGGAAUAACAGCUGGAAACGGCUGCUAAUACCGGAUGAUGACGAAAGUCCAAAGAUUUAUCGCCUGAGGAUGAGCCCGCGUUGGAUUAGGUAGUUGGUGGGGUAAAGGCCUACCAAGCCGACGAUCCAUAGCUGGUCUGAGAGGAUGAUCAGCCACACUGGGACUGAGACACGGCCCAGACUCCUACGGGAGGCAGCAGUGGGGAAUAUUGGACAAUGGGCGAAAGCCUGAUCCAGCAAUGCCGCGUGAGUGAUGAAGGCCCUAGGGUUGUAAAGCUCUUUUACCCGGGAAGAUAAUGACUGUACCGGGAGAAUAAGCCCCGGCUAACUCCGUGCCAGCAGCCGCGGUAAUACGGAGGGGGCUAGCGUUGUUCGGAAUUACUGGGCGUAAAGCGCACGUAGGCGGCUUUGUAAGUCAGAGGUGAAAGCCUGGAGCUCAACUCCAGAACUGCCUUUGAGACUGCAUCGCUUGAAUCCAGGAGAGGUCAGUGGAAUUCCGAGUGUAGAGGUGAAAUUCGUAGAUAUUCGGAAGAACACCAGUGGCGAAGGCGGCUGA
This 620-nucleotide ribosomal RNA is filed under the name uncultured Alphaproteobacteria bacterium. RNAcentral describes it as "bacterial SSU rRNA". It matches the Rfam family "Bacterial small subunit ribosomal RNA", at positions 62 to 728 of the family's 1533-position model. Lineage: Bacteria; Pseudomonadati; Pseudomonadota; Alphaproteobacteria. The record is from RNAcentral.